This 85-nucleotide transfer RNA is filed under the name Sclerotinia borealis. Its description in RNAcentral is "tRNA-Tyr". It matches the Rfam family "tRNA". Rfam says of the family: Transfer RNA (tRNA) molecules are approximately 80 nucleotides in length. Their secondary structure includes four short double-helical elements and three loops (D, anti-codon, and T loops). The record is from RNAcentral. Lineage: Eukaryota; Fungi; Ascomycota; Leotiomycetes; Helotiales; Sclerotiniaceae.
AGGAAACUUCCAUGGUUGGUAAGAUGGGUUGAGCUGUAAACUCAAUAGUAUUGUACUUUUAAGAGUUCGAAUCUCUUGUUUCCUA